RNAcentral lists this ribosomal RNA (447 nucleotides) under uncultured Glomus. Its description in RNAcentral is "SSU rRNA". It matches the Rfam family "Eukaryotic small subunit ribosomal RNA", at positions 569 to 1023 of the family's 1831-position model. Lineage: Eukaryota; Fungi; Glomeromycota; Glomeromycetes; Glomerales; Glomeraceae. The record is from RNAcentral.
AGCAGCCGCGGUAAUUCCAGCUCCAAUAGCGUAUAUUAAAGUUGUUGCAGUUAAAAAGCUCGUAGUUGAAUUUCGGGAUCAAGUCGUCGGUCGUGCUCAGGUACGUACUGGCGUCAUUGAUUUCUCCCUUCUGACGAACCAUGAUGUCAUUAAUUUGGUGUUAUGGGAAAUCAGGACUGUUACUUUGAAAAAUUAGAGUGUUUAAAGCAGGCUCACGCUUGAAUACAUUAGCAUGGAAUAAUAAAAUAGGACGUUCGAUCCUAUUUUGUUGGUUUUAGGAUCAACGUAAUGAUUAAUAGGGAUAGUUGGGGGCAUUAGUAUUCAAUUGUCAGAGGUGAAAUUCUUGGAUUUAUUGAAGCUAACUACUGCGAAAGCAUUUGCCAAGGAUGUUUUCAUUAAUACAAGAACGAAAGUUAGGGGAUCGAAGACGAUCAGAUACCGUCGUAG